GGCUAUAUAGCUCAGUGGUGGAGCACAUGCCUAGCAUGCACGAGGUCCUGGGUUCAAUCCCCAGUACCUCCA
RNAcentral lists this transfer RNA (72 nucleotides) under Camelus bactrianus (Bactrian camel). It matches the Rfam family "tRNA". From Rfam's summary of the family: Transfer RNA (tRNA) molecules are approximately 80 nucleotides in length. Their secondary structure includes four short double-helical elements and three loops (D, anti-codon, and T loops). Lineage: Eukaryota; Metazoa; Chordata; Mammalia; Artiodactyla; Camelidae. The record is from Rfam by way of RNAcentral. RNAcentral also lists the same sequence under 2 other names.